GCUAGGGUGGCAGAGCUUGGCAAAUGCAGAAGACCUAAGCCCUUCUACCCAGAGGUUCAAAUCCUCUCCCUAGCU
Molecule: transfer RNA, 75 nt
Filed under: Neoceratodus forsteri (Australian lungfish)
Lineage: Eukaryota; Metazoa; Chordata; Ceratodontiformes; Ceratodontidae
Description: tRNA-Leu
Rfam family: tRNA
About the family: Transfer RNA (tRNA) molecules are approximately 80 nucleotides in length. Their secondary structure includes four short double-helical elements and three loops (D, anti-codon, and T loops). Further hydrogen bonds mediate the characteristic L-shaped molecular structure. tRNAs have two regions of fundamental functional importance: the anti-codon, which is responsible for specific mRNA codon recognition, and the 3' end, to which the tRNAs corresponding amino acid is attached (by aminoacyl-tRNA synthetases). tRNAs cope with the degeneracy of the genetic code in two manners: having more than one tRNA (with a specific anti-codon) for a particular amino acid; and 'wobble' base-pairing, i.e. permitting non-standard base-pairing at the 3rd anti-codon position.
Source: RNAcentral